CGAGACUUUUUUGAGUGACUUCAAUUACAAGUGAAAGUUGUCUUUUUGAGGCAACAAAAAUUACAGUAAAUUAAGCAAAUAUAAUUUUGAUUAAUAUUAUAACCUACAGUAAACAGGGUUCAACUGGAUCACUUGGGUUGAGCAUAUUUUUUUGGCUUUUCAAUGUGAAUCUAAUUGAUUGAUUCCAAUUGUUUCCAAAUGGAUUUCAUUACCUGUUAACUCAAUGAAUAAACUGUAUUCUGCCUGCUUUUUACGGACUAAAAUAAUUCAAUUGAAAUGUAUAUUUGAACCUUUCCUAUUUUUUUGGAUGUUAACUGACGGUAAUACUAAUAUUAAUGGGUAAAGAAAUACGCAUAUUUAGGUUAAACAAUCACGAUUCUGACGGAUUCCAGAAAGAUUAUCAUCUUGCUCAUCAACUUACUAAUCAUCAGUAUUUUAAGUUGCCUUUAAUCAUGAUUGACAUGCACAAAUGAACCGUUGAUUUGAUAAAGAUUAACCACAAAAAGAAAACUAUUAAGGUAAUUGGUAAUAUGUAUCAAGACAAUAAUAGAUAGUAAAAUGAGUAUUCAAUUAAACCAGGUACAAUGAUGACCAUAACAGCCAAAUGGAAUCAAGUGUUGAAACCAAUCAUAAUAUCUUUUGAUGGACAUUUGGACCUGAGUAUAAUCUGAGCUCAAACCGAACCAAUAUGGCAAAAUUACAAUGUAUCUUAGUAUCUCAAUUCAAUUACAGUCAUAAGAUGGUCAUUUGUUUCUUGUUACAAUUAUACAAAAUGGAAAACAACUCGAUGAUAUCAUCUCAGGAACGAGACGAGGACUCCUUAAACUAUGCAAAUGGACCUAAGAAUGAAAAUUGUGAUCAUCACCGACUCCAACGUAUUCAACGUAAUACAUGCAUAAAUCGUUAUGCACAGGUAGUUGCUCAACUCACAUUAGAGUUGAUGAGAGAUGUUUGAACGCUGAAAAGACAAAUUGCUGAGCUAAGUGGGCAGAUAAUGGUUGUAAUAAUAAUGAUAAUAAUAAGCCAUCAAAAGUCAAAGUAAUAUGAAAAAAAGGCUAACGCCCGGAGCUAAUUUUCACAGUCGCCCUUCCGGAGAAGCACAUUACCAUCAUCAUUUCAUUUGUAAUGAAAACUAGAGAAAGUAAAGAUGAGCCUGAAAACAAUCAACAAGCAAACCGAACAUUGACCUUUUUGUUUGUUGAUUAAAUAUAAUUUUUGCUGAUUUCUUAUGAUUUGUUAGCUGCUCAAAAUUGCUGUUAAUGUGAUGCUUUGGCUAUUUUAUUUUAUUUUCACGCAAUUUUGAUCAUUUGAAUCACGAUUUGAAAAACUUUGCUCAACUAUCCCAUUACAAUUAACAGUAAAAAGCGGUUUCAUUUUUGUUCAAGUGAAACAAGCAAAAAAGGUGAAAGUUGAUAUCUAAUCAUGAUCACAGUGAACACAAAAUUGAACAAAAAAAGUUAAUGUCAAGUGUGUUGAUCAACACAUUAAAUCAUCUUUAUCUCGACUCAUCAUAACUGUUAACCUUUAAUCGUGUAAACAAUUGAUUAGAAUCAAUGAAAUGAUCAAUUAAUUUACACAAAUUAAAGUGUAAUUGUUAGCCGUUUGAAAUGGUUUUUGGCUUUUCACUUUUCUGCUAACCUUAAGGGAAACAAUUGUUAUGUUUCAAAAGGGAAAAAUGUUUCAAUUCAACAAUUUAAAUUACUAACAGUUGAACAUUUAAAUUGAGUGGACAAUUUUUUUGACAAUUUACAGUUGACCCGAUAAAUUACCAUUAAAAGUGUUUAAAGCUACACAAAGGUUGAAAUGGCGACCAUUUACAGAGUCAACAAUUGACUUUACAAUUACAGUUAAACAAUUUGAUUGUUCAAGUUGAUGGUGAUGAUGAUAAGUCGUUAGCUUUUUAUGCUUCAUUAUUAUAAUCAUGUUCAAGUAUCAAUUCAUUCAUUGAUCAUUUACUCAUCCAAUUGUACUC
Tetranychus urticae (two-spotted spider mite) is the source of this 1972-nucleotide non-coding RNA. NCBI's taxonomy places the organism in Eukaryota, Metazoa, Arthropoda, Arachnida, Trombidiformes, Tetranychidae. The record is from RefSeq and is a predicted model, not a curated record.